This 82-nucleotide transfer RNA is filed under the name Saccoglossus kowalevskii. RNAcentral describes it as "tRNA-Ser". It matches the Rfam family "tRNA". From Rfam's summary of the family: Transfer RNA (tRNA) molecules are approximately 80 nucleotides in length. Their secondary structure includes four short double-helical elements and three loops (D, anti-codon, and T loops). The record is from RNAcentral. Lineage: Eukaryota; Metazoa; Hemichordata; Enteropneusta; Harrimaniidae.
GGCGAGGUGGCAGUGUGGUUAAAGCGAUGGACUGCUAAUCCAUUGUGCUCUGCACGCGUGGGUUCGAAUCCCAUCCUCGUCG